AACUGGUACACUGACUCAAUGACAAAUGCUCGUUUCAUAAUUAGGGUGGAGCAUGAAAGCAACUAUAAAGGUUGCCUCCAUCUGAGACUCUCACUUCUGCUGCAUACCUUUGAAAGCUCUGGAUUUUGAGUGAGUUAUACUUCAAGACAACAUCUGAGAAACAUGGAACAUUUACUCAAUGAUAACCUUCUGAAGUAUUUUACUGAGUAUGCUUUACGUGAAGGUAGCACCUCUGCACUGUCCAUUGGUGGGCUGAAAAGUCUGAUUCAGAAUCAAUUUGCACAGUACCUGAAGGAUACAUUCUCACUUGAUAACAUAAUUAAAUCGAUGGACAAAAAUAAUGAUGGAAGCGUGACCUUUGAUGAGUUUGUAAUGAUUGUAAAACAGAUAAUUGGACAGUGAAGCAUCUGCAAGAAUGACUAUCACUGCUUUGAAGGACAAGACCCUGGCAUUCAUGUACAUUAUACGUACGCUUAUACCGAUAGAUUUGUUACGAAUUUAAAACAUACAGAAUAAAAAUGUGACAUAUAACAAAGGAUG
Long non-coding RNA from Cuculus canorus (common cuckoo), 540 nucleotides. RefSeq lists it as uncharacterized. The record is from RefSeq and is a predicted model, not a curated record. The transcript is spliced from 3 exons. Lineage: Eukaryota; Metazoa; Chordata; Aves; Cuculiformes; Cuculidae.